Bos indicus x Bos taurus (hybrid cattle) is the source of this 430-nucleotide long non-coding RNA. NCBI's taxonomy places the organism in Eukaryota, Metazoa, Chordata, Mammalia, Artiodactyla, Bovidae. The record is from Ensembl.
GAAAAGUGGAAGGGCUGGUGCCCUGCUGCUGCUGCUCAUCUCUGGGGUGCCUCCUAGACUGGUUCCCACACAUCAGCAUCUACUCCUCCCAUUCAGGUCCUGCUGUUGUGCUCCCUGGUGUGGGCUCCACUUCUGUGCUGGUGGCAAGCUGGGAGAGCAUGGAAGGAAUUCAGCAGUUGGAGAGCCCCUUCCCUCAUGACACUUCUCCAAAAGAGAGAACCUUGGCUCAUCUCUGUCCAGCAUUCAGGACUUCCCUGGUGGCUCAGAAGCACUCAGCUCCCAGUGGAUGAGAGACUGAUGAAGAGAGUGAAGCUGGCAGCCAAGUUUCCCCAGGGUGCAGGCCAGGGUGCUGCUGCGGUAAGUUCAUAAACAGGACAUGGUGUCACAUCACCUCCCUCAAGCCUUCCAGAGGAAGGUAGACGCCAAGGCA